Molecule: ribosomal RNA, 253 nt
Filed under: uncultured bacterium
Lineage: Bacteria
Description: partial 16S ribosomal RNA
Rfam family: Bacterial small subunit ribosomal RNA
Source: RNAcentral
UACGUAGGGGGCGAGCGUUGUUCGGAAUUACUGGGCGUAAAGGGCGCGUAGGCGGCCGAUCAAGUCAGAUGUGAAAGUCCUGGGCUUAACCUGGGGACUGCAUUUGAUACUGAUUGGCUUGAAUUCGGGAGAGGAUAGCGGAAUUCCCAGUGUAGAGGUGAAAUUCGUAGAUAUUGGGAAGAACACCGGUGGCGAAGGCGGCUAUCUGGACCGACAUUGACGCUGAGGCGCGAAAGCGUGGGGAGCAAACAGG